CCUACGGGAGGCAGCAGUGAGGAAUAUUGGUCAAUGGACGAGAGUCUGAACCAGCCAAGUAGCGUGAAGGAUGACUGCCCUAUGGGUUGUAAACUUCUUUUAUAAAGGAAUAAAACGAGGCACGUGUGCCUUUUUGCAUGUACUUUAUGAAUAAGCAUCGGCUAACUCCGUGCCAGCAGCCGCGGUAAUACGGAGGAUCCGAGCGUUAUCCGGAUUUAUUGGGUUUAAAGGGAGCGUAGAUGGGUUGUUAAGUCAGUAGUGAAAUUUUGCGGCUCAACCGUAAAAUUGCAAUUGAUACUGGCAGUCUUGAGUACAGUUGAGGUAGGCGGAAUGCGUGGUGUAGCGGUGAAAUGCUUAGAUAUCACGAAGAACCCCGAUUGCGAAGGCAGCUUACUAAACUGUGACUGACAUUGAUGCUCGAAAGUGUGGGUAUCAAACAGGAUUAGAUACCCGUGUAGUC
Molecule: ribosomal RNA, 460 nt
Filed under: uncultured bacterium
Lineage: Bacteria
Description: partial 16S ribosomal RNA
Rfam family: Bacterial small subunit ribosomal RNA
Source: RNAcentral